This is a long non-coding RNA of Leopardus geoffroyi (Geoffroy's cat), 981 nucleotides long. RefSeq lists it as uncharacterized. Lineage: Eukaryota; Metazoa; Chordata; Mammalia; Carnivora; Felidae. The transcript is spliced from 4 exons. The record is from RefSeq and is a predicted model, not a curated record.
AAAAAAAGGCCCCGGGUUCGGAAGCUGCAAGAUUCUUGAGAAUGAGGAGGAAGGCGGUUUACUGUGGGCAUCGAUGGAGGAUCUUGAAAGUUUAAAUGAAAGAGUAACAGUGCAGAGCAGAGAGGAAGAUGGGGAAAGCGAUUUUAAAUGCCUUACUCUUUCCCGGAGGGUGGGUGGAAGUUUUCUGCCUAAAAAUUAAACCCCACACAGUCUGCAAACGCACGGCGCAGUCAAAACAGGAAGAGAUAAAAUGUUAUGUAUACAUUUUAAUUUUCAAAAAAAACAAAAAACAAAAAAACCUUUCUGCCGCUCUCAGAUCUUUUUCUAUUCUGAAAUGAUGCGAUGUUCCUUAAAAACAACAAACAGUGAUUGUCUCUUGAUCUCUUUCUGAGACGAUUUGGAUACAUUUAAUCGCAGGUUUCCCUGAAGGCUUGCUUUUCGUUGGCCCUUCUGUGGUUUCUAACGGAGACUAAAGGGUCAGAGCCACGAACUCUGAUUUACACGUCCAAGUGAGAAAGCUGCGAACAGUGCCAGCCGUCCAUCCUCUGGAAAGCACUUGAACAAGCCUGUGAAGCCUUCAUUUCAGGGACACAUGAAGACCAAGGCCGUCUGCAAGCCAGGAGGAGAACUCUCCUCAGAAACCGACCACCUGUGGCAUUCUGAUCUGGGACUUUCAGUCUCUGAACUAUACAGACUUUUAAUGAUAACACAAACCAUUUCUGUACUUCACGAACUGAAACGGCGAUUUGUGGUGUGGCAUCGUUCUCAGUCUUCCUCGAGUGUUCCCUGAGAUGGAGGCCUUCUCCUUCACCUCCAUCUGUCCUGAUUGCAACCAACACUUUAAGAACCUUCCAGUUGCACGCAAUGGAACAUAAAUACAUGCUACAUUGCAUGUGGUAAUGGUAAAAGUAUUAUUUGUUCUGGGUGGUGAUGUAAAGUAGAUUUCUUACCGAGGCAUGUAUUAAAAUGUUCGAGAACUAG